UACGGAGGGUGCGAGCGUUGUCCGGAAUCACUGGGCGUAAAGGGCGCGUAGGCGGCCUGAUAAGUAGGGGGUGAAAUCCUGCGGCUUAACCGCAGGGCUGCCUUCUAAACUGUCAGGCUUGAGCACAGUAGAGGCAGGUGGAAUUCCCGGUGUAGCGGUGGAAUGCGUAGAGAUCGGGAAGAACAUCAGUGGCGAAGGCGGCCUGCUGGGCUGUUGCUGACGCUGAGGCGCGAAAGCGUGGGGAGCAAACAGG
Molecule: ribosomal RNA, 253 nt
Filed under: uncultured bacterium
Lineage: Bacteria
Description: partial 16S ribosomal RNA
Rfam family: Bacterial small subunit ribosomal RNA
Source: RNAcentral